GUCAAAUCAUCAUGCCCCUUAUGACCUGGGCUACACACGUGCUACAAUGGAUGGUACAAAGGGCUGCGAGACCGCGAGGUUAAGCCAAUCCCAGAAAACCAUUCCCAGUUCGGAUUGCAGGCUGCAACCCGCCUGCAUGAAGCCGGAAUCGCUAGUAAUCGCGGAUCAGCAUGCCGCGGUCGAAUACGUUCCCGGGCCUU
Molecule: ribosomal RNA, 200 nt
Filed under: uncultured organism
Description: partial small subunit ribosomal RNA
Rfam family: Bacterial small subunit ribosomal RNA
Source: RNAcentral